RNAcentral lists this ribosomal RNA (465 nucleotides) under uncultured bacterium. RNAcentral describes it as "partial 16S ribosomal RNA". It matches the Rfam family "Bacterial small subunit ribosomal RNA", at positions 338 to 795 of the family's 1533-position model. The record is from RNAcentral.
CCUACGGGAGGCAGCAGUGGGGAAUAUUGCGCAAUGGGCGAAAGCCUGACGCAGCGACGCCGCGUGAGGGAUGAAGGUCUUCGGAUCGUAAACCUCUGUCAGCAGGGAAGAACGGUCACUGUGCUAAUCAGCAGUGAAUUGACGGUACCUGCAAAGGAAGCACCGGCUAACUCCGUGCCAGCAGCCGCGGUAAUACGGAGGGUGCGAGCUGUAAUCGGAAUUACUGGGCGUAAAGCGCUCGUAGGCGGUAUGUCAAGUCAAGGGUGAAAUCCCCGCGCUCAACGUGGGAACUGCCGUUGAAACUGGCAAACUGGAGUGUGUGAGAGGAUAGUGGAAUGCCAGGUGUAGGAGUGAAAGCCGUAGAUAUCUGGAGGAACAUCAGUGGCGAAGGCGACUAUCUGGCACAUAACUGACGCUGAGGAGCGAAAGCGUGGGUAGCAAACAGGAUUAGAUACCCUGGUAGUC